CUGCAGACGCCAGAUCUACCGAAUUAUCUAAUACCAAGACUAAAGAUGCGAUUCAAAGAUGUAGAGAAAGAAAAGGAAUUUUAUAACAGAUACGCCAGACACACUGGUUUUGGAAUCAGGAAGACGGGUGGAAAUGACAACCACAAGUAUUUUGUUUGCGCCUUCCAAGGGAUACACACAUCUUCUGUUUCAGAGGCCAGCAGGAAGCUAAACAAAACAUCACAGAGGACAGGCUGCAAUGCAAGAAUGAGGGUGAAGGUGUAGGAGGAUGGCACAUGCGUGGCAGUGGACAUUGAGUACAAUCAUAAUCACCAGCUCAUGCAAACUGAUGACAUGCUGUUGUUUUUGCACUCACACAAGAAUUAUGACCCCACUAUUUUGGAGUACGUAAAGCUCCUGCAGUACCAUGAUGUCAAGCACACAACAAUCAUGUCCAUGCUAUCUGAAAAUGAAGAUGGAAGCUACUUCCUAAGCAUGACCGGACGAGACCUGCUAAACCAGAAAGCCAUGAAUGCAAGGAAAGAUGAUUUGGAUGAUGUAUUGGAACUUGUUUCAUUCUUCAAAGACAUGAAGGCGAUAAAUGAUGAGUUUUUCUAUGACAUCCAAGUGGACAAGGACAAGUCAAUUAAAAACAUUUUCUGGUCCAAUGCAAGCUGCCGAGGAGCCUAUCAAGACUUCGACAAUUGUGUAACAUUCGACACGACUUACAAGACCAACAGAUUUCAUGUGCCCCUGGGAGUGUUUGUUGCAACAAAACAUCACUUGCAGCCAACGAUAUUUGCUAUUGCCCUGAUAAGAGACGAAGAUGCAAAGUCAUUCAAGUGGCUAUUCAAUACAUUUCUACGGUGCAUGAACAACAAGCACCCAACUUGCAUUCUAAUAGACCAAUGCCCAUCGAUGGCAAAAGCUAUACCACAAUCAUUUCCAAACACCGUCCACAAGCUAUGCCGUUGGCACAUCUUGAAGAAGUACAUGGAAUACCUCGCGUUGUUGUACAAAAAGUAUAAAACAUUCAAAGAGGAGUUCACAGCUAUAUUAAACUGGCUGCUGAUGCCAACGGAGUUUUAAGAUGCCUAGGCUAAACUCGUGCACAAGUACAACCUGGAGAAUGACCAGAUGAUGAUGCAGCUCUGGAGUGAUAGGAAGAUGUGGAUUUCAGCAUAUUACAAGAACAUUUUCUGUGCUAGAAUGACUUACACACAACAAAGCGAGAGCAUGAACUACGUGCUAAAGAAAGGAUUUGUCAUGGGGACCCAGAACCUACACAAGUUUGCUAGGCGGGUCAAUGCUUGCAUACAAACUCGGAUGCAGAAGCAGAACGAGCAAACAAUGACCAGCAUGGUAUGA
RNAcentral lists this ribosomal RNA (1347 nucleotides) under Triticum aestivum (bread wheat). RNAcentral's name for it is "partial small subunit ribosomal RNA". Lineage: Eukaryota; Viridiplantae; Streptophyta; Magnoliopsida; Poales; Poaceae. The record is from RNAcentral.